CGAAUCGUCUGGGCCAAUGACCAAUCAAAUUUCUUUUGAUUCUCGAGGGAGACAAAGCUAGACAACGGGUAGUAGAGGGCUACAUAAUUCUUCUACUUCCCUUCGCUUCCGUUUCGUCUUCACUCAAUCUAGCAGGACAGGAAAAUAUAUGGAUAAGAAUUAUUAAUAUUUUGUUAAACAUUUCGGUGACUAGACUGCGUCUUCUUGUCUGCUUCUGGCUUCUUCCCAUGUGCUCACUAUGUCUACUGGGGUGAGUAUAAAGAAACUGUGUCCACUAUCUACUCAGUCUAGAGCUACAUUUGUGCUCUAAAUUUUGGACAAGUAUAACUAAAUUCCUCAAUAGAAUGUGGACAACUUGUGGGUGUCCCUCAACUCUGUCACUCAUUAAUUCAGGAAAAAAGAUAGCAAUGAAUGCCAUUGACCUUCACGUAUGUGCCCUAUGCUGCCACAUCUCCUGUUUAUGAUUCAGUGAGAGUAUGAUAGAUGCCUACUUUGAAUCUUAUUGGCAGCACAUUUCUUUAACAAAAGGUCUCUUGUGUUCUUCUCCUAUAGCUCCACGUUUCUCUGCUAGCCACCACCCCAUCUUUCAGUUCAAAGAACUGAAUGAUCCUUAAGAGUUUGAUGUAGAAAUGUAGGCUCAUUGAAGCACAUUCAUCAAUAUCCCAUUUAUUCUUCCAACUGGAAAUGGUCCUCUAUUGCGUCAUUUUAGCAUUUAGUACAAGUUUUAGGUUUAUUUUGAAGUGACAACGUGGAUGACUACCUAAUGAAGAUCUGAUAGGAAAGAUGUUGAAUCCUAAUCAAAAUAGAUUUGAAAUAAGACGGUGUGGGUUGGUUUCUCCAAUGCUUCUUCAAUUUUUAGCAGUUCCUAUGUGAAUGAGAUAUGAAAAAUGAGCUGAUGAACUACUUAGUGAAUUUAGUGAAUGGUUAAGCAUGUAGUUGGUUAUUUUGGUCCAAGGCAAAAAGGACAAUACCAAGAAAUUCAACCCCCUUAAUGUUACUGGUCCAUCGAAGUACGACCUUCAGAAAUUUGAAAUGCAAUUCAAUUAUUUCUUGUGGUGGAGGGACCAAAAAUAAUCACAAAAAGAUAAAAAAAAUAAAAUUCUAGUCUCCUCUAGGUACUCUGCAUUGUAGCCGCAAUGUUAUUGAUAGAAAAGCAAUGUACGUGUUAGAAAAUUUCAAUGUAAUCUUGAGAUGUAACAGAUUUUGAAGUGAAAAUGUACCCAAAAAGAAUAUUGAAGUGAAAUUUGUCCUAGUUUACACAAAUUUUCAAAUCAUGGCAUAAUUUA
Long non-coding RNA from Manihot esculenta (cassava), 1286 nucleotides. RefSeq lists it as uncharacterized. The record is from RefSeq and is a predicted model, not a curated record. Lineage: Eukaryota; Viridiplantae; Streptophyta; Magnoliopsida; Malpighiales; Euphorbiaceae. The transcript has 3 exons.